This 490-nucleotide ribosomal RNA is filed under the name uncultured bacterium. RNAcentral's name for it is "partial 16S ribosomal RNA". It matches the Rfam family "Bacterial small subunit ribosomal RNA", at positions 30 to 507 of the family's 1533-position model. The record is from RNAcentral.
AUUGAACGCUGGCGGCAGGCCUAACACAUGCAAGUCGAACGGUAACAGGAAGAAUCUUGCUUCUUUGCUGACGAGUGGCGGACGGGUGAGUAAUGUCUGGGAAACUGCCUGAUGGAGGGGGAUAACUACUGGAAACGGUAGCUAAUACCGCAUAACGUCGCCAGACCAAAGAGGGGGACCUUCGGGCCUCUUGCCAUCGGAUGUGCCCAGAUGGGAUUAGCUAGUAGGUGGGGUAACGGCUCACCUAGGCGACGAUCCCUAGCUGGUCUGAGAGGAUGACCAGCCACACUGGAACUGAGACACGGUCAAGACUCCUACGGGAGGCAGCAGUGGGGAAUAUUGCACAAUGGGCGCAAGCCUGAUGCAGCCAUGCCGCGUGUAUGAAGAAGGCCUUCGGGUUGUAAAGUACUUUCAGCGGGGAGGAAGGGAGUAAAGUUAAUACCUUGGCUCAUUGACGUUACCCGCAGAAGAAGCACCGGCUAACUCCGUG